This 468-nucleotide ribosomal RNA is filed under the name uncultured bacterium. RNAcentral's name for it is "partial 16S ribosomal RNA". It matches the Rfam family "Bacterial small subunit ribosomal RNA", at positions 28 to 507 of the family's 1533-position model. The record is from RNAcentral.
GACGAACGCUGGCGGCGUGCUUAACACAUGCAAGUCGAACGGAAAGGCCCUGCUUUUGUGGGGUGCUCGAGUGGCGAACGGGUGAGUAACACGUGAGUAACCUGCCCUUGACUUUGGGAUAACUUCAGGAAACUGGGGCUAAUACCGGAUAGGAGCUCCUGCUGCAUGGUGGGGGUUGGAAAGUUUCGGCGGUUGGGGAUGGACUCGCGGCUUAUCAGCUUGUUGGUGGGGUAGUGGCUUACCAAGGCUUUGACGGGAAGCCGGCCUGAGAGGGUGACCGGCCACAUUGGGACUGAGAUACGGCCCAGACUCCUACGGGAGGCAGCAGUGGGGAAUAUUGCACAAUGGGCGGAAGCCUGAUGCAGCAACGCCGUGUGCGGGAUGACGGCCUUCGGGUUGUAAACCGCUUUCGCCUGUGACGAAGCGUGAGUGACGGUAAUGGGUAAAGAAGCACCGGCUAACUACGUG